AUUGAACGCUGGCGGCAUGCCUUACACAUGCAAGUCGAACGGUAACGGGCCUACGGGUGCCGACGAGUGGCAAACGGGUGAGUAAUACAUCGGAACGUGCCCGAUCGUGGGGGAUAACGAGGCGAAAGCUUUGCUAAUACCGCAUACGAUCUACGGAUGAAAGCAGGGGACCGCAAGGCCUUGCGCGGACGGAGCGGCCGAUGGCAGAUUAGGUAGUUGGUGGGAUAAAAGCUUACCAAGCCGACGAUCUGUAGCUGGUCUGAGAGGAUGAUCAGCCACACUGGGACUGAGACACGGCCCAGACUCCUACGGGAGGCAGCAGUGGGGAAUUUUGGACAAUGGGCGCAAGCCUGAUCCAGCCAUGCCGCGUGCAGGAUGAAGGCCUUCGGGUUGUAAACUGCUUUUGUACGGAACGAAAAGCCUUCUUUUAAUACAGGAGGGUCAUGACGGUACCGUAAGAAUAAGCACCGGCUAACUACGUG
RNAcentral lists this ribosomal RNA (482 nucleotides) under uncultured bacterium. Its description in RNAcentral is "partial 16S ribosomal RNA". It matches the Rfam family "Bacterial small subunit ribosomal RNA", at positions 30 to 507 of the family's 1533-position model. The record is from RNAcentral.